GCAGUAUGCAUUUUGCACUGGUUACAUUGGAUGUACAAACCUAUCCCACAAAAAACUACAUAGGCAAAGCAAAGGGUAAUUUCCUCUACUUUCGUUGAAAAAUUGCCUCAUCUAUCUGGACUGUGGCAGCUAUUUGGAAAAUAUUAAAGCAAUUUUCUUGCUUGGGGAUACAAAUACCUUAAGGUAAGGGAUUAAGGAGUCAAAGCAAUGAAACAAAAAGAAAACACAAUCACAGGAGCCUGAAAACUGAUUAGAGUUUGUUUAACUUGAAGUUAGUAAUUAAUCAAUAGAUAGCUUAAAGUGAUCCUUACGGUGAUAAGUGGAACAUGUCAUGAGUACAACUUAGCUACUAAUCUUGUUUAUGUAUUUACAAAUGGUCAAGCCAGGAAUUUUCAUUAAAAACUACGUUAAAAGGUUUUGCAUUUAAUUUGUAUUGGAAGCUUCAAAUAGCCUUAAUCAGGUAAGUAUUUGGAUUGAGAUAGGGUCAAACUAUCAGAAAAAUCAAAUAAAGGAGUUAUUUACAGGAAAUUAACAUUGGAACAUGGUGGCACACCAAUAUAAACUGAAAUCUUACGAAACUUUCAUAUGGUAACAUGGUGCAAUCACAUGGCUCGUGCUAUGAGGAAAUAUAUUUGACCAUUGCAGGGAGCACAAUAAAACAAAGCAGCUUAAUGGGAGCUUCGUGAUUGAGAAAACACAGUUUUUCCCCUAUUUAAGAUGCUGCCAACCUCAGCCUUCAUCUGGUGACAGAUUUUAUUCAUGCAACCUGGUUCUCAGUACGUCCCAACUGCCAGCAAGUACCCUAACAACUGUUGCUGUUAUGGUUGACAUUUUGAAGAUUCUACUUGCAUGAAAACCCAGCAUGUUAUGCUUCACUGUGAGGAAGGUACAAUAAGAAGAAUUAUUAUCGGUGCCAGACUUCUCCAGCUGGAGCAUAAACUGGAAGAAACACAAUGUCAAUGGGAAUUACAAAUUCCGGAACUCGAGUUCGAAAUCCUGUCAAUAACUCUGGCUUGCAUCUCUUUCAAAAAAUUAAAAAUGAAUACUUGCAGUUUUUAUUUUAACUACUGUAGAUUGAAUGUAUCUUUCACCAUCAAAAAACCUAUGUAAACAUCCAGUACAUACAAUAACCUCAGAUUCAAUUACUUGAAAUAUAUUAAUUGUGCAAAUUCAA
Long non-coding RNA from Pristis pectinata (smalltooth sawfish), 1174 nucleotides. RefSeq lists it as uncharacterized. NCBI's taxonomy places the organism in Eukaryota, Metazoa, Chordata, Chondrichthyes, Rhinopristiformes, Pristidae. The transcript has 2 exons. The record is from RefSeq and is a predicted model, not a curated record.